UGGGGAAUCUUGCACAAUGGGCGAAAGCCUGAUGCAGCAACGCCGCGUGAGGGACGAAGGCUUUCUGAGUUGUAAACCUCUUUCAGCAGGGACGAUUGUGACGGUACCUGCAGAAGAAGCCCCGGCCAACUACGUGCCAGCAGCCGCGGUAAUACGUAGGGGGCAAGCGUUGUCCGGAUUUAUUGGGCGUAAAGAGCUCGUAGGCGGCUUGGCAAGUCGGAUGUGAAACCUCCAGGCUCAACCUGGAGUCGCCAUUCGAUACUGCUAUGGCUUGAGUUUGGUAGGGGACCACGGAAUUCCUGGUGUAGCGGUGAAAUGCGCAGAUAUCAGGAGGAACACCAGCGGCGAAGGCGGUGGUCUGGGCCAAUACUGACGCUGAGGAGCGAAAGCGUGGGGAGCGAACAGGAUUAGAUACCCCCGUAGUCC
RNAcentral lists this ribosomal RNA (426 nucleotides) under uncultured bacterium. RNAcentral describes it as "bacterial SSU rRNA". It matches the Rfam family "Bacterial small subunit ribosomal RNA", at positions 355 to 796 of the family's 1533-position model. The record is from RNAcentral.